GACGAACGCUGGCGGCGUGCUUAACACAUGCAAGUCGAGCGGUAAGGCCCUUUCGGGGGUACACGAGCGGCGAACGGGUGAGUAACACGUGGGUGACCUGCCCUCAGCUCUGGGAUAAAGCCUGGGAAACCGGGUCUAAUACUGGAUACUGACUCCAUGACGCAUGUUGUGGGGUGGAAAGCCUUGUGCGGCUGAGGAUGGGCCCG
Molecule: ribosomal RNA, 206 nt
Filed under: uncultured bacterium
Lineage: Bacteria
Description: partial 16S ribosomal RNA
Rfam family: Bacterial small subunit ribosomal RNA
Source: RNAcentral